CUGGCUCAGAACGAACGCUGGCGGCAGGUCUUAGGCAUGCAAGUCGAACGGAUGACAAGGGAGCUUGCUUCCUGAAGUCAGUGGCGCACGAGUGAGUAACGCGUGGGAAACUGCCCUUCACUGGGGAAUAACGUUUGGAAACGAACGCUAAUACCGCAUACGCCCGCAAGGGGAAAGAUUUAUCGGUGAUGGAUGUGCCCGCGUUGGAUUAGCUAGUUGGUGGGGUAAUGGCCUACCAAGGCGAUGAUCCAUAGCUGGUCUGAGAGGACGAUCAGCCACGCUGGAACUGAGACACGGUCCAGACUCCUACGGGAGGCAGCAGCUAAGAAUAUUGGGCAAUGGAGGAAACUCUGACCCAGCCAAUGCCGCGUGAAUGAAGAAGGCCUUCGGGUUGUAAAGUUCUUUUAGUCAUGAAGAUGAUGACAGUAGUGACAGAAAAAGCACCGGCUAACUUCGUGCCAGCCGCUGC
RNAcentral lists this ribosomal RNA (469 nucleotides) under uncultured bacterium. RNAcentral describes it as "bacterial SSU rRNA". It matches the Rfam family "Bacterial small subunit ribosomal RNA", at positions 19 to 518 of the family's 1533-position model. The record is from RNAcentral.